This 494-nucleotide ribosomal RNA is filed under the name uncultured bacterium. RNAcentral describes it as "partial 16S ribosomal RNA". It matches the Rfam family "Bacterial small subunit ribosomal RNA", at positions 28 to 507 of the family's 1533-position model. The record is from RNAcentral.
GGCGAACGCUGGCGGCGUGCUUAACACAUGCAAGUCGAACGGAAAGGCCUGCUUUCCCUUGUGGAUUGCGGGUACUCGAGUGGCGAACGGGUGAGUAACACGUGAGUGAUCUGCCCCCAACUUGGGUAUAAGCCUGGGAAACUGGGUCUAAUUCCCGAUAGGACUGCAGGGUGGUGCCUGUGGUGGAAAACGAUUUUCUAGUGGUUGGGGAUGAGCUCGCGGCCUAUCAGCUUGUUGGUGGGGUAAUGGCCUACCAAGGCGGCGACGGGUAGCCGGCCUGAGAGGGUGGACGGCGACAGUGAGACUGAGAUACGGCCCAGACUCCUACGGGAGGCAGCGGUGGGGAAUAUUGCACAAUGGGCGGAAGCCUGAUGCAGCGAGGCCGCGUGGGGGAUGACGGACUUCGGGUAGUAAACUCCUUUCGACCGCGAGGAAGCCACCUGGUUGGAAGGGUGGUGACGGUAGUGGUAGAAGAAGCACCGGCUAACUACGUG